Molecule: ribosomal RNA, 484 nt
Filed under: uncultured bacterium
Lineage: Bacteria
Description: partial 16S ribosomal RNA
Rfam family: Bacterial small subunit ribosomal RNA
Source: RNAcentral
AUUGAACGCUGGCGGCAGGCCUAACACAUGCAAGUCGAGCGGAUGAAGGGAGCUUGCUCCUGGAUUCAGCGGCGGACGGGUGAGUAAUGCCUAGGAAUCUGCCUGGUAGUGGGGGAUAACGUCCGGAAACGGGCGCUAAUACCGCAUACGUCCUGAGGGAGAAAGUAGGGGAUCUUCGGACCUCACGCUAUCAGAUGAGCCUAGGUCGGAUUAGCUAGUUGGUGGGGUAAAGGCCUACCAAGGCGACGACCCGUAACUGGUCUGAGAGGAUGAUCAGUCACACUGGAACUGAGACACGGUCCAGACUCCUACGGGAGGCAGCAGUGGGGAAUAUUGGACAAUGGGCGAAAGCCUGAUCCAGCCAUGCCGCGUGUGUGAAGAAGGUCUUCGGAUUGUAAAGCACUUUAAGUUGGGAGGAAGGGCAGUAAGUUAAUACCUUGCUGUUUUGACGUUACCAACAGAAUAAGCACCGGCUAACUUCGUG